AUUUUCUCAGUAACCUAAAGAAAUGUGGAUAGGUGUGGAAACAGAGAGAAGCAGGGACAGUAGAAAAUCUCAGUCAUCCUCUGACUCUUUGGGUUUUCUUUUUAUUUUGCAGAAAGAGCUAAAAUUCCUUUCCCAAAAGCACUGCAAAGUAUUCUUAGAAACGGUUCCUGAGGAAGUAGAGAUGGUGAAGGCUCUUUUAAGUAGGAAGUCAUAUCAAAAUAGAAAAAAAACCCUAGAAGAACCGAGAUAUUAACUGUAUGUAUGUGAACCCUUGGAGAGAUUUAAUUUACAGUAAGCUAAGGAAGAGCUCUUUGACAUCAUAUAGAAUUGAAAAGGUAAUAUAUCCCUCUCAUCCUCACUGUAUAAUAUAUGUACAAUCAGGCACCUUUUGGGAGGAUUGAUCUAGUUUCUGUUUUUCAGAUCAGAACAGUCAAGCCUGUUGAGGAGGAAAAAGGUGUGUUCUACAAAAUGCAGUGAGUCUAAGCCACAGAUUUCUGUAUUUUUCUGACAGAAUUCAGUAAAAUUUUCACUUUAAGCAGAAAGUUGUCCCUUCUUUUCUCUUUGUUGUGCACCCACUCAGUAGCAAAGUCAACUUCACUUACAAAUUGUAAUAGUCACACUGUUUUUAUUUGAUGUGCUUCAAACCUUUUACAAAGUCCCAGCUGCUUUCUGGUCCUCAUGACAUCGAGAUGGUAGGUCAGAGAGUGGCCUGGAUAACUAUCUUCUCAGCUGGGAGGUGACACUGCUCAUUCCUUUCAUUUAGUGAGAGUCGCUUGGAGGGCACCUCUGGAUUCACCAUUACCACAGUGGCUGCAUCCUCAGCUCACCUCAUGGCAGUCCUACCCGAUCACUGCACUUGCACAGCAGCAAACUUGGGGCACACUGUUGCCCAGUGCUGGUGUUCUGUUGCCAAGUGUACUUUUUUGGAAGAGAGAUGAAAUUUUCACAAUCCCAGCAGACAUGCUGACAUUUUGUACCACCCGUGCUCUUUCAAACCAAGGGAGCUUGGAAAUGCACUGCUUGACGUCAAAGGGCUAUGUCAUUUUUACAGCACUAGCAGAAGACUGUAAGUGUAAUUUGCCUUUAGACAAUGAGGUAUUUCCUUUUCAUGAGUAUAUUCUCCUAUCCUGAAGUGUUAAAUAAUUUCCCAUCUCUGUUGAUUUUAAAAUAUGUUGGUUUGUGAACAGCUUUUGUGAUUGACUCCCAAACAGAAUUAACUUUGAUCUCAGUUGAUCUUGUUGUGACUUCUCAUU
This 1253-nucleotide long non-coding RNA is filed under the name Parus major (Great Tit). RNAcentral describes it as "lncRNA (ENSPMJG00000006267.1)". Lineage: Eukaryota; Metazoa; Chordata; Aves; Passeriformes; Paridae. The record is from RNAcentral.